This 1002-nucleotide ribosomal RNA is filed under the name Microbacterium sp. A2562TSH. RNAcentral describes it as "bacterial SSU rRNA". It matches the Rfam family "Bacterial small subunit ribosomal RNA", at positions 37 to 1050 of the family's 1533-position model. Lineage: Bacteria; Bacillati; Actinomycetota; Actinomycetes; Micrococcales; Microbacteriaceae. The record is from RNAcentral.
UGGCGGCGUGCUUAACACAUGCAAGUCGAACGGUGAAGCCAAGCUUGCUUGGUGGAUCAGUGGCGAACGGGUGAGUAACACGUGAGCAACCUGCCCUGGACUCUGGGAUAAGCGCUGGAAACGGCGUCUAAUACUGGAUAUGAGGCGUGACCGCAUGGUCAUGUUUGGAAAGAAUUUCGGUCUGGGAUGGGCUCGCGGCCUAUCAGCUUGUUGGUGAGGUAAUGGCUCACCAAGGCGUCGACGGGUAGCCGGCCUGAGAGGGUGACCGGCCACACUGGGACUGAGACACGGCCCAGACUCCUACGGGAGGCAGCAGUGGGGAAUAUUGCACAAUGGGCGGAAGCCUGAUGCAGCAACGCCGCGUGAGGGAUGACGGCCUUCGGGUUGUAAACCUCUUUUAGCAGGGAAGAAGCGAAAGUGACGGUACCUGCAGAAAAAGCGCCGGCUAACUACGUGCCAGCAGCCGCGGUAAUACGUAGGGCGCAAGCGUUAUCCGGAAUUAUUGGGCGUAAAGAGCUCGUAGGCGGUUUGUCGCGUCUGCUGUGAAAUCCCGAGGCUCAACCUCGGGCCUGCAGUGGGUACGGGCAGACUAGAGUGCGGUAGGGGAGAUUGGAAUUCCUGGUGUAGCGGUGGAAUGCGCAGAUAUCAGGAGGAACACCGAUGGCGAAGGCAGAUCUCUGGGCCGUAACUGACGCUGAGGAGCGAAAGGGUGGGGAGCAAACAGGCUUAGAUACCCUGGUAGUCCACCCCGUAAACGUUGGGAACUAGUUGUGGGGACCAUUCCACGGUUUCCGUGACGCAGCUAACGCAUUAAGUUCCCCGCCUGGGGAGUACGGCCGCAAGGCUAAAACUCAAAGGAAUUGACGGGGACCCGCACAAGCGGCGGAGCAUGCGGAUUAAUUCGAUGCAACGCGAAGAACCCUUACCAAGGCUUGACAUAUACGAGAACGGGCCAGAAAUGGUCAACUCUUUGGGACACUCGUAAACAGGUGGUGCAUGGUU